CUUAAUAAUCUCACCAAUACACCUAUUCUUGGUCUUUCCCAGAUGGGAAGCUGAGGCCUGUAGAGGGUCAGACACAGGCUUCAUGUUUUUAUCUUCUAUAUUUUAUGAUGUGUGACACCUUGGAGCCUUGCCACCAGGGAGACCUUCCCAUGCCAAUCGGUUCCUAGAGGUGGUUAUGGCUGUGUCUUCCCAUGAGAACCACUAGUUCCACCCUGCAUCUCCAGCCUCCUCUUUUACAGGAUUUAAGCCAAAGUUGUCCCUGUCUGAAAUCACCCAGGACCAGGAACUGGGGACACACCAACAUCACAGAAGCGCCAUCACUCAGCUCUUAGCCUGCUCAGUAUGGUCUCUACCUUACUGAUGGUACCAACAUGAGGUUUCUCCUCUGUCUCCUGCCCGGACCAUCGCUGUGAGACCAGUAAGGAAACAUCAAUCCAUCCCAGAUGAAGAUGGAGCCAGAAGACCAAAGGAGAAUUCCACCCAAGUCCAACUGUGAUUUCUCAAGUCCUGUAGUGACAAUUGAAAUCUUGGAGUGGCGACAAGGCCUUGAGUCUUAAGAACUCCCCUAAUCCCUCCACAAGAGAAUGUUAAUGGACACAGCCUCAUGAAGGUCUCAUGCAGGAGACUCCAGCCGCUCUGCUUCAAGAUGCCAAUGAUAACAUCCCACCUGGAGGAAACAGCCACGCUAAGUGUAUCAACCCAGGUUUCAACCCAUCCUGGAUGUGAAUUGCAAGAUGGCAGGGGAACUCAGACUGCUCACUGUGGCCAGCCGGGAUGCAGAUGCCUCUGAUUUCCUGCCCCAUGGGAUGACUGGCAUGAAUAUGAAUGGGAUCGUUCACUGGCACACCAACAACUUACCAGUGUUGAUGUCACUGAAGAAAAUGCUGCCUUCUCCCCCAGCAACGAUUAACUGCCAACAACUCCUAAGCACUGUCCUCCCUGGAAAGACACACUUACAGCCCCAGACUAGACUGAUCAUGGUAAUUCCACGUCCUUCCGUCUGGAGAGAGACUUCCUCUUGACCUUGGGACUCUUGAAGAAAGUGGGCUCACAUUACCUGCUGACUUAGCAGUUUGGCCAGAGGAGAGAAGAAGUUUGGGAAGAACAACAGUGUGAACCCCCAUUCUGCCCCAGCUACACCCCACGGUUUAGAACCUGUCCGGAGACGGCUCACCCACACCUGCCAUCGUACCUCACAUCAAGCUUGUAGCCACCAGCUCUCACUGCUCAGAGGAGUGGGGCAAGGAUGCAAAGAAGGGGGUGACCUCUUCCCUAAAGGCUGCAGUAGAAGGAGCUUGUGGGAGGGUGGUGCACCUAUAUGGUGGAGGAGCGGACCAGCCUUAACCUGGGCCAGACGUGGCCCCACCUCCAGGGAUGCUAGAUGGUAGAGGAAGAAGUAACAGAGUCUCCACUGCCAAUCUCAGUGUGGCCCAGAGAGGUUGAAGUCUGGACCAAGGC
Molecule: long non-coding RNA, 1458 nt
Organism: Onychomys torridus (southern grasshopper mouse)
Lineage: Eukaryota; Metazoa; Chordata; Mammalia; Rodentia; Cricetidae
Exons: 5
Source: RefSeq, a predicted model, not a curated record